RNAcentral lists this ribosomal RNA (879 nucleotides) under uncultured bacterium. RNAcentral describes it as "bacterial SSU rRNA". It matches the Rfam family "Bacterial small subunit ribosomal RNA", at positions 35 to 916 of the family's 1533-position model. The record is from RNAcentral.
GCGUGCAGGUCGACGAUUACAUGCAAGUCGAGCGGGAUUGGUAGCAAUACCAUGAGAGCGUCGCACGGGUGAGUAACGCGUACACGACUUACCUCUGACAGGAGGAUAGCCCUUGGGAAUCUGGGAUUAAUACCGCAUAUUAUUCUGAUUAAUAAAGGAUUGGAAUGAAAGUUCAGGCGGUCAGAGAUGGGUGUGCGUCUGAUUAGCUAGUUGGUAGGGUAACGGCCUACCAAGGCGAUGAUCAGUAGGGGGCGUGAGAGCGUGGUCCCCCACACGGGUACUGAGACACGGACCCGACUCCUACGGGAGGCAGCAGUAAGGAAUAUUGGUCAAUGGGCGAAAGCCUGAACCAGCCAUCCAGCGUGCAGGAAGAAGGCCCUAUGGGUUGUAAACUGCUUUUAUCAGGGAAGAAACCUCUGGAUUUACUCCGGAGCUGACGGUACCUGAAGAAUAAGCACCGGCUAACUCUGUGCCAGCAGCCGCGCUCACACGGAGGGUGCGAGCGUUAUCCGGAAUUACUGGGUUUAAAGGGUGCGUAGGCGGCUUUGUAAGUCAGGAGUGAAAGUUUGCAGCUCAACUGUAAAAUUGCUUCUGAUACUGCAGAGCUGGAAUCAGGAUGAGGUCAGCGGAAUGUGGCAUGUAGCGGUGAAAUGCAUAGAUAUGCCAUAGAACACCAAUUGCGAAGGCAGCUGGCUAGACCUGUAUUGACGCUGAGGCACGAAAGCGUGGGGAGCGAACAGGAUUAGAUACCCUGGUAGUCCACGCCCUAAACGAUGCUUACUCGACGUAUGGCCCUUGUGGUUGUGCGUCCAAGGGAAACCGUUAAGUAAGCCACCUGGGGAGUACGGCCGCAAGGUUGAAACUCAAACGAAUUGACGG